GUGGCUGUAGCUCAGUGGCAGAGCACUUGCCUUGCUUGGGUAAGACUCUGGGUUCAAUCCUCAGCACCACA
This 71-nucleotide transfer RNA is filed under the name Marmota monax (woodchuck). It matches the Rfam family "tRNA". From Rfam's summary of the family: Transfer RNA (tRNA) molecules are approximately 80 nucleotides in length. Their secondary structure includes four short double-helical elements and three loops (D, anti-codon, and T loops). The record is from Rfam by way of RNAcentral. Lineage: Eukaryota; Metazoa; Chordata; Mammalia; Rodentia; Sciuridae.